UCUGCCUCCACUGGGACCGUCACGACCCUAAGUUGACUGCGCAAGCAAAGACCCUUUCGCAGAAUCAUCUGUGUUGAAGGCUUCACGGUUUGGGGGAACUGGCAGCGUUAGCGGUCAGAAAAAGCGUCAGUUUACGGAUAAGCGGAGCCGCGAGAAUCACGACCGGCAGCAUGAGCCCCCACGAGAGAAGCCAUGACCUCAUCCAAUAAUGCACGAAAAGUCCGUCAUCGAGAAAAUGGAGG
RNAcentral lists this unclassified non-coding RNA (242 nucleotides) under Hevea brasiliensis (rubber tree). Lineage: Eukaryota; Viridiplantae; Streptophyta; Magnoliopsida; Malpighiales; Euphorbiaceae. The record is from RNAcentral.